This is an RNA transcript of Epinephelus moara (kelp grouper), 3009 nucleotides long. It is a transcript of the gene named low affinity immunoglobulin gamma Fc region receptor II-like, with no coding region annotated. Lineage: Eukaryota; Metazoa; Chordata; Actinopteri; Perciformes; Serranidae. The transcript has 6 exons. The record is from RefSeq and is a predicted model, not a curated record.
UAUUUUAGUAUUUUAUUUAUAUCUUCAUCUUUAUCUCUUGUUUCCAUUCAUGCUGUAUUUCUAUUUCUACUUUGCACGGAGCAUUGGAACAAAAACAAUUUCCCCCCGGGGAUUAAUAAAGUAUUCUGAAUCUGAAUCUGAAUCUGAAUUCUCCUUCAGCAGCUCUCUUCACCUGGGAAAGGCUACCCCGAUGUUGACCCUCGUUUUUUGAAAUCGCCGGUCACGUUGCCUUUUUGCCUGUUUUCAAAUGCACCGCCACUUGUUACUAGCCUGCUUGCUGCUGCUUUUCGUCACUCUACCUGCAGGCAGAAACCGACAAGUGAAAACGCGUAAGGUGAUUCCGUAUUUCUCAGGUAUGUCCCUGUACGUACCUGUGUUUUCAAGAUGGCGCAUGUACAUGACGAGACACCGGUCGCAAUGUAUAUGUAAAUGAGAAUUUCGGAGCUGACUGACAUACUUAUACAUAUAGAUAGAUAUAUACAUAUUCAUUUAUAUACAUAUCCUUUUAUUUACUUAUUUAUUUUCUUUCUAUGAAGCCCUUAUAUUUUUUAUUUUAUUGUGAACUUUCCCAAAAUCCGUUUCACCUGUAAAUAGGUUCCUGUCAUGUUGAUUUUUGUAGCGUAUCUUUUUUGUUUCCCUGGGGACGUCAUUUGCGUUACUCCGCGGGGCUCACGCUUCAGUGAGACUGUAUGCUCAGAGCUGGUGAGUCACGUUGCUAAAUGCUCUCUUCAUUAUUCUUGAUAAUUGUUGCGUUUUAUGAAUGAACAUCAUAUGGUGACACACAGUGGAAUAUAAUAUACAUACGAGUCCGUCAGCUUAGUCUCCGUCGCAUGGACACGUUGUUAAUCUUGAUGUUAGACCGAGUAAAUUUAAUGUUCGUCCAGCUAAUUAGCCUUGGGCUAGCUGCGUCGCGGCAGUUAGCAUGCUCGCUAAUAUUGACGCAACGGGUAUUUUGAUUGUCAUUUUGUGGUGUUUUGAUCCUGGAGGGUAUGCUAGCCUCAUGGUUUGAUGGUGUGUGAUGGAUAAUUAUGAUGUGUCACUCAUAUGUAGCUUGAUAUUUGCUAAUGCACUGUAUUGCAUAUGACUUUGUUUUUUGUAGAAUGUGGAGAGGAGCUGGUGCAUUACUGACGUCCUAUGUGUUUUUUAUUCUGUUCCAAAAGGUAUGCCUGUUACUCUGGUUAUCUGAAAUUAAUGCUGUCUUGUUAUGAAAUGUUAUUUGAAUUUAAUCUGUAUGGAUUAGUUGAGAGGUUAAUAAUAUGCACUGAUUUUGUACUUUUAUACUGUUUAUAUUUACAUGCCAUCUUUAUGGGACAUUUUUUUCUUUUUCAUUUUCACAUAGUGCUUAAUGCAAGACAGUUAUUGUCACUAUAUUAAUUUGAACGCUUCAGUGAGACUGUAUGCUCAGAGCUGAAUGUGGAGAGGAGCUGGUGCAUUACUGACGUCCUAUGUGUUUUUUAUUCUGUUCCAAAAGGAGUAAAAUUCCAUGCAGACCUUCAGUGCUGGUGUGUGUCUCACUCAACGCAACACAACGCAGAUUUGAGCAGAAUUGAGUCUGCUACACUUAGAUACGCUGUGGAGACAAUAAAGAUAACUAAAGGAAUAACCAUGAAAACCACAGCCAAGCUGAUGGUGAUGGGAGCAGCAGGUGAAGCUGUUGCCGUGUCUCUUCUCCACAGUCACUCUGUGCUGCUGACAGUAUAGAGGUCAUCAGGACCUCUGACUGUCUCUGGAGGUCCAGCAGAGACGAGGUUUCCCUCACCGUCCAGCCACAACACCUCAGGCUCUGGAUACCAGCCUGCAGACUCACACUGCAGAUCCACUCCUCUGAGGUCUUUAUCAUCGUCAGUCCUCAUUAAGCUAAUGGUAUCCACCGGCGUCUGCUGUUGGCGUUCCAGGACAGGACGUCAACAAGGAAGUGAACACUGGCUUCCCGAGUGAAAGUCAAAAGUUUGCUGGACCCAUCCACCACCCCUGCCGCCCACCCUACAGAGACUUUCCAGCCUCUUGUAUUAAGUUGUUACCUGCAGCGUUUCUGACUGAUGAAGUCCAGUGGUGUAUCAUAUCAACUGGGGCUGCAGCAAUAUAUCAGUUUCAAGGACACAAACUUCCUUAAGUUUGUCUGAGGCCAUGGUCCUCAGCCAGAAAAGGGUGGAUUGCCCACUCUAGGUCAGGGGGGAGGUCCUGCGGGAGAUUGACAGGCGGAUUGGGGCGACGUCAGCAGUGAUGCAGGCGCUUAACCGGUCCAUUGUGGUGAAGAGGGAGCUUAGCCAGAAAGCGAAGCUCUCGAUUUGCCGGUUGAUCUACGUUCCAACCCUCACCUAUGGUNCGGACGCCUCCCUUGGGAGAUGUUUUGGGCAUGUCCAGCCGGGAGGAGACCUCGGGGCCGCCCCAGGACACGCUGGAGGGAUUACAUCGCCCGGCUGGCCUGGGAACGCUUCGACUGUCUGGGCUUCUUUGCUGAGGCUGCUGCCCCCGCGACCCGGACCCGGAUAAGCAGAGGAUGACGAGUACAAGUACAAACUUCCAUUAACAAGAUGCUUUCAAGUUCCAGUUAUAGUAAUAAAACGUUUGUUCAACUAAUAACAACCGCCCUGUUUUCAUUCCUUUAAGUCUCGGUCUGACUGAUAAUGAGAAAUGAAAUUCUGUGAAACUGUGAUAUUUUCUGAGACGGUCAUCGUACUGUGGAAAUCUCAGUGUUGCAUCCCCAAUACCAACACGACCGGUGCCAUCCUGCAGUGUUAUGAAGUGACUCCAUCCAUCUGCCUAUCAUACCGCUGUGAAAGGUGGCUUUUGGCAUUGGUGUCUGACGCCAAAAUCAUUGCCAAAGUGGCGGUAUUUGACGACUUCAGGGAAGUACAGACCAGCUUGUAUAUUCAGGCAGAAAAACUUUAAAACAAAUGCUCUCAUUCAUCAGCAGCUACCACUGAAACACUCUUUAAAAAUUCAGGUCUCACUUCCACUGAUCAGCUGAGGUUUAAAGCCAAGAUGAUUUAUCCACUCACCAACAAC